RNAcentral lists this ribosomal RNA (598 nucleotides) under uncultured Trichoderma. RNAcentral's name for it is "eukaryotic LSU rRNA". The stretch from base 214 to 367 matches the Rfam family "5.8S ribosomal RNA". Lineage: Eukaryota; Fungi; Ascomycota; Sordariomycetes; Hypocreales; Hypocreaceae. The record is from RNAcentral.
GGAGGGAUCAUUACCGAGUUUACAACUCCCAAACCCAAUGUGAACGUUACCAAACUGUUGCCUCGGCGGGAUCUCUGCCCCGGGUGCGUCGCAGCCCCGGACCAAGGCGCCCGCCGGAGGACCAACCAAAACUCUUAUUGUAUACCCCCUCGCGGGUUUUUUACUAUCUGAGCCAUCUCGGCGCCCCUCGUGGGCGUUUCGAAAAUGAAUCAAAACUUUCAACAACGGAUCUCUUGGUUCUGGCAUCGAUGAAGAACGCAGCGAAAUGCGAUAAGUAAUGUGAAUUGCAGAAUUCAGUGAAUCAUCGAAUCUUUGAACGCACAUUGCGCCCGCCAGUAUUCUGGCGGGCAUGCCUGUCCGAGCGUCAUUUCAACCCUCGAACCCCUCCGGGGGGUCGGCGUUGGGGAUCGGCCCUUUACGGGGCCGGCCCCGAAAUACAGUGGCGGUCUCGCCGCAGCCUCUCCUGCGCAGUAGUUUGCACACUCGCAUCGGGAGCGCGGCGCGUCCACAGCCGUUAAACACCCCAAACUUCUGAAAUGUUGACCUCGGAUCAGGUAGGAAUACCCGCUGAACUUAAGCAUAUCAAUAAGCGGAGGAA